AUGUACCCGCAGGGUAGACACCCGUACUACGAGAUGUCCUACGGGCUCAACAUUGAGAUGCACAAACAGGCGGAGAUCGUGAAGCGACUCAGUGCUAUCUGUGCUCAAAUCAUCCCUUUCCUCUCUCAGGAGCAUCAACAGCAGGUUGUUCAGGCGGUGGAACGUGCCAAACAGGUCACCAUGGCAGAGCUCAACGCCAUCAUUGGGCAGCAGCUCCAGCACCUGUCUCACCACACUCCAGGUAUUCCUCUCACUCCUCACCCUUCAGGUCUGUCUCUGGGCGGCACAUCAGGGCUGCUGGCCCUCACCGGGGCUCUAGGAGUCUCCGCCCACCUGGCCAGCAAGGACGAACGCAAUCAUCUAGACCCCGAGCACCUGCGAGGUGAGGGUCCAUCUGAACUGUCUAUGUGCAUUUUUAAUGUCACAAAUGCAUGGGGUUAUUAA
Long non-coding RNA from Cyprinus carpio (common carp), 444 nucleotides. The record is from Ensembl. Lineage: Eukaryota; Metazoa; Chordata; Actinopteri; Cypriniformes; Cyprinidae.